AUGGAGGGGCGCCCCCGCGGCGGCGGCGGCCGGACGGCGAUGGACUACUCGCUGGCGGCGCUGAAGCUGUUGGCCUCGCAGCUGGCGGGCUCCACCACGGCCCCCUCCUCCGAGGGCUCCUCCCCGGCGCAGAUGCUCUUCGGCAUCCGCUUCCAGCGCGCCUGGAUGCAGGGCGUGAUCGUGCGCGUGGACUACAGCACCGGCGACAACGGGAGCCUGUUCGUGGAUGACGGCUCCUGCGUCACCGAGUUCAUGCUCCGGUCCGAGGAUGCCAAGGGCCAGCCCUGGCGCCCAGGGAUGUAUGUGCUGAUUAUUGGGGCAUAUAUUGCGCCAGAGUCUACCGAAAAUCUGCCAGCGGUCAAGGUGCACAAGAUAGUGGAUCUCUCGACGCAGCCGGACCGUGAAGCGAUGUGGUACAUGGAAGUCGCCGAGGCUUACAACUUGUUCUACGAGGCUGAUGCCUCUGGUGUCGGCUCACCGUCAUGA
RNAcentral lists this ribosomal RNA (486 nucleotides) under Triticum aestivum (bread wheat). RNAcentral describes it as "partial small subunit ribosomal RNA". The record is from RNAcentral. Lineage: Eukaryota; Viridiplantae; Streptophyta; Magnoliopsida; Poales; Poaceae.